RNAcentral lists this transfer RNA (70 nucleotides) under Ptyodactylus guttatus (Sinai fan-fingered gecko). RNAcentral describes it as "tRNA-Ala". It matches the Rfam family "tRNA". Rfam says of the family: Transfer RNA (tRNA) molecules are approximately 80 nucleotides in length. Their secondary structure includes four short double-helical elements and three loops (D, anti-codon, and T loops). Further hydrogen bonds mediate the characteristic L-shaped molecular structure. tRNAs have two regions of fundamental functional importance: the anti-codon, which is responsible for specific mRNA codon recognition, and the 3' end, to which the tRNAs corresponding amino acid is attached (by aminoacyl-tRNA synthetases). tRNAs cope with the degeneracy of the genetic code in two manners: having more than one tRNA (with a specific anti-codon) for a particular amino acid; and 'wobble' base-pairing, i.e. permitting non-standard base-pairing at the 3rd anti-codon position. The record is from RNAcentral. Lineage: Eukaryota; Metazoa; Chordata; Lepidosauria; Squamata; Phyllodactylidae.
GAGGCCUUAGCUUAAAUUAAAGCAGCUGAUUUGCAGUCAGAAGAUGUGAGUGAGUAAUUUGCAGGCCUUC